This 420-nucleotide ribosomal RNA is filed under the name uncultured bacterium. RNAcentral's name for it is "bacterial SSU rRNA". It matches the Rfam family "Bacterial small subunit ribosomal RNA", at positions 355 to 774 of the family's 1533-position model. The record is from RNAcentral.
UGGGGAAUAUUGCGCAAUGGAGGAAACUCUGACGCAGCCACGCCGCGUGGUGGAAGACACCCCUAUGGGGCGUAAACACCUUUUAUGUGGGAAGAAGGCUCUCCUCAGGAGGGUUUGACGGUACCACAUGAAUAAGCACCGGCUAACUCCGUGCCAGCAGCCGCGGUAAUACGGAGGGUGCAAGCGUUGUCCGGAAUCACUGGGUGUAAAGGGUGUGUAGGCGGACCUGUAAGUCAGAGGUGAAAGUCUGCGGCUUAACCGUAGAAUUGCCUUUGAUACUGCUGGUCUUGAGUCCCGGAGAGGUUGCUGGAAUUCGUGGUGUAGCGGUGAAAUGCGUAGAUAUCACGAGGAACACCAGAGGCGUAGGCGAGCAACUGGACGGGUACUGACGCUGAGGCACGAAAGCGUGGGGAGCAAACA